Molecule: long non-coding RNA, 1681 nt
Organism: Rhopalosiphum padi (bird cherry-oat aphid)
Lineage: Eukaryota; Metazoa; Arthropoda; Insecta; Hemiptera; Aphididae
Exons: 3
Source: RefSeq, a predicted model, not a curated record
AAAAGUUUCAAUAGUGUGAACCAAUAACAACGAAAAAGUUAGGUAGUGUUGUACCAGGGACGGCGCCAAGGGGAUGGGCGAUUGCCCGCCCAGGAUAAGUUCUCGUCCCCCCCCAAGAUAUUUAAACUCCUAUUAACUGUGGCCGUGGAGCACUAGACCAAGCUAGUCUCCCAACUAUUAUAAUAUAAACGAUUUUUGAACACAAGUACUGAAUUACCUAUAUCCUGUGAUUUUGAAUCCCCGGGUCUGAUUCCUCAUAAUUUGAAUCGACGAUUAUUCAACAAUCACUGUAGCGCUGUACAUAACAGUUUACGAGUGUAUUUAUUUUUGAUAGGCAUAUUAUUUCGUAAUUGUAAAUAAUAAAUAGAAUGAGUGGAGCACUAUUUUCAUUAUUCACUCUCCGUAAUCGAUUAAAGUGACGCGAUUCAAAAUGUUUAAAAAUAGCGGAGUUCGCCUAUUAGUCUGGUUUCCCACAGGACUUGUCAUUACACGACAUAAUAUUUGUUCACUGUUUAUGUAUGUGUGUGUAUAUGUGCCCGCUUGCCUCAUUUCGUUUGUGUUUAGAUAUAAUUAAUAAAUAUAAAUAUCUUCAGUAGUUCAGUGUAAAUUUCGUUUCAUUUCACAUUUUAUUUAUCUCAACAACAAGUAACAACUAUAUAUAACGGCGUAAUAGCGACGAUUUUUAUACAUUUUUAAUAUUUUUCAUUUAUUUUUUUUUGCAAAUCUUUACCAUUGGUAUAAAAUAUAGUCAGUUCUGUUUAUUAAUUAUUUCACCAGUUUAACACGUUAAAUCAAAAUGAGUGUUCGAAAAAUUGAUUCUACUUAGGUCCUCAAACAAGUCCAGUUAAUGAGGAUGAAUUAAAAAAAUAAACAAAAAAACUACAAAUUUAUACUGGCGGAAAUUGCCAAUUUGGUGUAAUCGUGGGAUGUUCAAAGUGAUUAGACAUAAACACAAUUUGUCCAACCGUUCAGCAGUUUUACCUUGAAGAAUAUCAUACACUUCACCAACUUCCAAUGGAAGAAUUCCUUCCUUCUGACCCAACGCCGCUGGAAGGGCAGCUGCCCUGGGCCCCACCAUUUUAGGGGACCCUUGCCUUUCAUGCCAUUUAAUGAUUAUCGGUCACACUGUGCGACAGUUUUCCACGGAAAAUAUGAGCCAUUUUUGGAGGAACUAAUUUAUGGAUUUCUUUCCUUCGACCAAUGUCUAAACAUAUAAUAUUUGGUUUAUUAGAUUAUAUAUAUUAUAUUAUUAUAUUAUACAUAUUAUAUUAUUAAAUUAUAUAUAUUACAUUAUUAUAUUAUAAAUUAUUCAAUACUUAAUAUUGUUGGUGGUGAUUUAAUGGAACAGCUUGAUGGUUUACCUUUAAUUGAUGGUUUAUUCACUUCUAUCAAUCGUUGACGGCUAAUUUUUGUACGUGUUUCUUUAAGAUCUAACUGCAAUUCGUCCAAAGGCAUAAAUAAAUUUAUUUAAAUGAAUAUUGACAAACAUUUUUACUAGGUAGAUCAUUUUAAUAAAUUGUUUUUUAUUGUAUGUACACUUUUAUGCGUCUAAGGAUUGACUUAUUCUAUAAAUUAUUUAUGAAUAUGAAUUAAAUUUUCUACUCAUUUCUUUUUGAUAAAUAUUUAAACAAAUAACUCUAUAACUUAUCAAUUGGCAUCAAAUUUCAGUAUCUGUCAAUAA